Non-coding RNA from Macaca mulatta (Rhesus monkey), 1820 nucleotides. The record is from RefSeq and is a predicted model, not a curated record. NCBI's taxonomy places the organism in Eukaryota, Metazoa, Chordata, Mammalia, Primates, Cercopithecidae.
CUCUGCACUCUGGCCUGGGCAACGGAGCGAAACUCUGUCUCAAAAAAAAGAAAGAAAGAAAGAAAUGAGGGUGACUGCAGAAGCCUCUCUGAGUGAAAGGGCAGUGGAGAUGGCCCGCAGUGUGCGGAGCUGCUGGCGUUCAUGCCGAGCCAUGGGCCCUGGCAGAGCUGGUCCUGGAGGUUCAGCAGCUGCUUGGCAUAAGCCACUUCAAUCCCCUGGCAGUGAGUUUGGAGAAUCUUUUAGCUUUGCUCCUAAAGGUAGAUUCCAGGUACUCUCAGAAGAAUGAUAAAGGGAGGGAGAAACAGGGCAGAUGAAUGAGAAAAAAGCUAGAAAAAGAUUUGGAUUGAUGCUAGAAAAUAAUGAGAGCUCUUUGUGGGUUUAUUUAUGUAAAGUAGAGUGCUAAUACCUUGACUUGGCUGUUAUUUAGGACCUUCCCUCCUCCCCUGAUUACCUUCCAAACUGACACACACAUACACCCCAGAGCAAUUCAGAGCUCUGGUCUGGAAAAUCUUCCCACUGAGGCGUCAGUGGCUUGCCCUGUGAUGACAGGUUUAAUGAUUUUCUAUCUCUGCAUUCCACUGGGACCACCUACCCAGAGGCCACGCCCUACUGACCGGGUUAGCCAGAGCCUGAGACUAAGCGUGAGCACACAGAAGGCAGUACCAGUGCAGGUGCCAGGAGAGCUGCAUUUUGCUUUGAGUGAAACGCUCUGGUUGGCUGUGUGGCCAUGUCCAUGUUGCUUGCUCUCUCUGUAAUUCAGAGUCCCAAAUUAUAAAAUGGGACUGAUGGUUCUUGUCUCCUAGAAAUGUGAUGAGAACAGAGUAAAUUAUUGGUCUUCUGCUUUUUUUUUUUUAGGUAGGAUUUCCUAGGCUCUGUUAUACCAGAGAAGAAAAUGUCCUUAGAAGACAUUUAAUCAGAGAAUAAACAGAGAGAAGUCAAACUUGCUCACAACCUGCCUUGUAGUCUCUUACAUGUCUCCUUCCAGAGAAGUCCAAGGGAAUCUUCAGUAAUUUCUGGCCAGCAACCUGGAGUAGGAGGUGGAGCUGCUGAUGCACUGUAAUUUGCACCUGUUGAAGGAAUUUAUCUUAAGUCCUGAAGCCUAGCCACUUGAGACAACUGAGAGCAAAUCAUCCGUGGCUUAACAGCAGGCUUUGGAUUCAAGUCCCCUUUUCUCCUGUCGAGGGAAGUGAGUCCAUGAACCGGCCUUCAUCUGAAAGCCACAGCGAAGCACCUCCUAGCCCAAGUCUAGCUGCUGUGUGGCAGCUCCAGCGGUGUGACCUGUGACUGCCCUGCAGACACCUAACAAGCGCUGCGUGAGCUAUUAAUAAUAAAAUCAACUCUUCUCCCUCCCCCCCCGCGAGGGGGGUUCCCUCGUCAGGGCCCAGAACCCGCUGGGGUAGAAUCGGGGCUGGCGUGCGAAGGAGCUGGCGGCAGGGGGUGUGGGAUGCGGUGUUCCCGAGGAGACAGAUGAAGGAUUUGGGUUGUGUGGGAAGGGAACUGCGGAAUUCCUCCCCUUGGUUCCUGAGGGGGGCUCCGAAGGAGACAGAUUAGGAUGCAGAGCGCAGCCCGGGCGACCGAGGGCGAGGAGGCGAGCCAAGGACACCAACCAGCCCGAGCGCGCCUCGAGGACGCCCCGCGUGGACCGCGCUCCAAGCUCCUCGGCCUCGCCUUCCAACCAUCCGCCCACCGGCCCCAAAGCAGCGAGCGCACUGUGAGCGCCCCACCCUGCGUCCGCAGGUGGGUGGGCCAGAGAACCGCACGCAGCUAGGAGGGACCCCGGCUCCCCCUCCGCCAACCCCGGGACCGCGGCGCGCGCGGCC